GCGAUCAGGAUGGAGCAGAGGGUAGAGGUCAGCGUCGGCGGCGGUGUGGACCGCUGGGGGCGCGUCGUGUGGGUGCGGCGGCCUGUCGGGGCGGCGGGUAUGGACGGCAGGGGAAGCGGUGGGUAGGGGCGGAGCGGGGCGGGCGGCGGAGGGGAAGUGCGACCGCGCGCGAGCGGAGCGGACGUGGCCCGAUGAACACUAGACCUGCGGCAGCUACUAGACCUGGUUUUCCACGAGUAAGAGUAUAAAGUGUGCAUGUACCGGCGGCCUUCCCACCUUCUUAGCUGUUACAAUUCUAAAAGUACGUGCUCUUCGUUGUUAAUUACCACUUUCCUCCUCCUUCUACUGCCUGCCACUACCUUCGACGUCCGCUACUCGAUCGUCGCUCCCUGUGUCUCCUGUGGUUCGUCUGGAAGCCCUAUCUCUGUGUAAAUAGUCCUAACAGAAGCACAUCGCCCACUACCUAUUACUCCCUACCCUGGAGCCGAACUGCGAGAAGUUCUAACAGCAAAAUAAACCCUCGGACGGGAAGAUAGCGGUGGUCUGCCGUGUGUUCUAGUCGAAUCCUACGAACAUGGUGGUUAAACUACCGAAAGUUGGUUUAACACGAUUGAGACCGCACUCUUGCCAUUGUAUAUACAAAAGGAGAUCCGCAGUAUCGUAACACCUAAACGUAGUAAUGAAGUCGUCCGAUCGACCUACACUAGACCUGUAUCCACUAAAACUCGGUUGUGGUCGGAAUUUUCAUACAGAGACAAAAGAGAGUACGAAGAUGAUACUACGGGGCGUAGUACACAAACAAUUUUACGAAUUGUUUAGACUUCAUUCAAGUACGGUCGGUGUACGAACGAUGCUACGGAGAGUAUCUAGAGAUUAUGAUUGGACGUACGGUUUGAAUGAGAGCAAUAAUCCGUUCUGAUCUAACCUACCUAUAUUGAUUAGAUUAUAUAAAAGCUUACACUAGUACCUACGUAAAUUACAACUUAUUAUAGAGGAUGUAGCAUUAACUUCCAUUCAUCCAUUAUCAUUAAAAAGUAUAUAACAAACAAGAUCCAUGACGUGAUUACAAAGAUGUCCUUUGUAAAAUGGACUGUAUACAAAUGUCCAUGUGCGUGAAAUCUUCGGUGUUUGGUCAGGUUGAGUACAGACUACUAAACCAUCUCGACAGCAUUGGUACCUUGACCGAAGUAAAUAACUAUUCUAAUACAAGUAACUAGGGUUCUGAUACGAGUACCCUGUUCCUAAUUCCUUCCAGCGGUACCCUACUAAAUGUUCCUUAACGGUCACAAUGCACUCUUCCGGGUUCCGACCUUAGUUGUCAUCGUUCAAUAACAAAGGGCACUUCGGAAAACAAAAAUAAUUAAUGUAAUCUAGUACUGAAGAAAGACCUAGUUAUUAAUAACCUACCAUUAAUAUAGAUGGUCAAAUCGAACCUUUGUAGAUUUCAAAGUAUCGUCACUUCCCCUCUCGUUCGCUGAUUGGUUGUGAUUACGCAUUUUACAUUUCUCUUUUCGUACUACCCCUUCCUAAUUGAAAGUAAGUUCUCCACCGGUAACUCAACCCGUCUACUUCAACACCUUGUUGAAUUCGACGUGUCCAUAUGGUACGGCGGUGGCGAUCCCUCGAGAACCAACGUGACGUUCGACGUCCGGAACAGUUGAACGAGCACAGUGAAUUCGCGGUAUUGAAGCGGGGCGAGUUCUACCUAUCAAAAGACGUCCGGGGAGUAGCUGCCGCCCACUGGAGGCGCAGUUAGACGGCCUCGGGGGAGAAGAAGCUGAGGCGGUUGGCACGUCGGUGUGGCAGCUAGAGGAGGUGGAACACCAACUAAACGAUGAUUAGAAAGACGUGAUUGAUACCUGGUUUAACCAACAUAGUCCCACCUAUCACUAUUAAACUUGUUAGACUUCCAGCUAUCCACCAACGUGUCCGUGCGUAAACGGUGCCACAGAGGGCGCCUUUAGAUUCCAAGUUCGGGUAGUUUUGACGUUUUUUAACCAAUGUCUUAAUGUACUCCUACAUCCUACCUCGGCAGGAAUCUUCUUAACAGAUUUCUUGUCUUUUCAUCAUUGUGGUACAGAAAAAGUUCAGGUUUAGUCGUAACGUUACGCGACUGAUAGGCGGGUACAAGGAAUAACCUUGGAAACUAUUAAUACUCAUCAGAAAAUUUAUACACAGGUACACAACAUCACUUAAACAUGUUGCGUUCAGUGGUAUUCAGCUACAUAUCGUGUUACUUUGUUUUCUUCAAAUUGGCUCCCCCAGUACAAUUGCAAGUUUUUCUUAGGUCGUUGCUCCCGGGGUUCCGCUACACAAACUUCCCCGGUUUUUAGGUGGCUCAUAAUUCACAUACAUUAGUCUUCCUUUUUUAAUUUUCCGGGCAUCGGCUUUCUUUUUGUUAAACCAAUACU
RNAcentral lists this ribosomal RNA (2411 nucleotides) under Triticum aestivum (bread wheat). RNAcentral's name for it is "partial small subunit ribosomal RNA". Lineage: Eukaryota; Viridiplantae; Streptophyta; Magnoliopsida; Poales; Poaceae. The record is from RNAcentral.